This 184-nucleotide unclassified non-coding RNA is filed under the name Glomeraceae sp. RNAcentral's name for it is "partial contains 5.8S ribosomal RNA and internal transcribed spacer 2". The stretch from base 1 to 65 matches the Rfam family "5.8S ribosomal RNA", at positions 84 to 154 of the family's 154-position model. Lineage: Eukaryota; Fungi; Glomeromycota; Glomeromycetes; Glomerales; Glomeraceae. The record is from RNAcentral.
GUGAAUCAUCGAAUUUUUGAACGCAAAUUGCACUCUCUUCUGAGAGUAUGCCUGUUUGAGUUUCAGCCUAAAAAAAAAUCUAAAUAUUCGCUGUUUCGCGGUGGCAGUCGUCGGUAAUUGGGGCAUCUUAGACCUUUGGGAGUUAAGAGGCUUAUAAUUUUCUUUACAAUUCCACGAACAAUUC